UACGAAGGGAACUAGCGUUGUCCGGAAUUACUGGGCGUAAAGAGCGCGUAGGCGGUUUAUUAAGUUGGGAGUGAAAUCCCGGGGCUCAACCCCGGAACUGCUCUCAAAACUGGUAGACUAGAGUGUGAUAGGGGGUGAUGGAAUUCCUAGUGUAGAGGUGAAAUUCUUAGAUAUUAGGAGGAACAUCGGUGGCGAAGGCGAUCGCCUGGAUCACUACUGACGCUGAGGCGCGAAAGCGUGGGGAGCAAACAGG
This 253-nucleotide ribosomal RNA is filed under the name uncultured bacterium. RNAcentral describes it as "partial 16S ribosomal RNA". It matches the Rfam family "Bacterial small subunit ribosomal RNA", at positions 524 to 776 of the family's 1533-position model. The record is from RNAcentral.